UACAGAGGGUGCGAGCGUUAAUCGGAAUUACUGGGCGUAAAGGGUGUGUAGGUGGUUGUGUAAGUUAGAUGUGAAAUCCCUGGGCUCAACCUGGGAACUGCGUUUAAAACUGCACAGCUAGAGUACUGUAGAGGAUAGUGGAAUUUCCAGUGUAGCGGUGAAAUGCGUAGAUAUUGGAAGGAACAUCAGUGGCGAAGGCGACUUCCUGGACUGUAACUGACACUGAGGCACGAAAGCGUGGGGAGCGAACAGG
RNAcentral lists this ribosomal RNA (253 nucleotides) under uncultured bacterium. RNAcentral's name for it is "partial 16S ribosomal RNA". It matches the Rfam family "Bacterial small subunit ribosomal RNA", at positions 524 to 776 of the family's 1533-position model. The record is from RNAcentral.